GUAAAAAGGAAGAAUGCAUUGAAUUUGGUCCUUGCCUGUUAGUUGUGUUUGUUUACUUGCUGGUGAAUUAUGCUGACAUUUCCCCCUUGGGAGAACUUGUCUGCUGUACUGCAAGAUGCACUGUUCACCUAUGAACAUUACCUGGCUUGAUGUGUCCGCAGGGCCAGUUUUCUGUAUAUGGAGAGGCCAGAAAUGAAAUAAAAUCACAAAAGAAAGCAAGGAGAAGAAAACAGAGGGAGAGCAUGGAAGGAGCAGACAUCUGGAUUGCCUGUGACUGGGACAAUGUCAUGGAGUCCUCACUGCAGGGACUCUCAUGGGGUCUGGGGACCGCUCACCUGGAGCUGCACAGUGGUACAUGGAGUGGUUGGUGACUUCACCUGCUACAUAUUUUUACACAGAAAUGCUGGAAGAUCUCAGGUUCAAAACGUCCCUGGAGAUGUUCUGCGGAUGCCUGGAGGCUUCUGAGGACACCUUUGUCUUGGUGAAUUUUCAGUUAAGUGCCCUCACAGCAAGCUCAAUGACAGGAACCCAUCCUGACACACAAGCCAAGGCUAAUGCUUUUCAUUGCACACCCCCUGCUUAUGCCGUGGGUGUUCCCAUGUGAGCUCCUGAAGGUAAUCACUGGUAAGUUUGCCUCUACAUCUUACGGCUAUGUGCUUUUUAAAAUGGCAUUUAAUGACCUCUUCUUUAGAAAACCUGCUGUAUUCAAAAGAAGAUCAAGGUGGACUUAAAGAUGCUUAAAGAGGUCACAAAACAGGGAUUUAGUAGCAUAACUGUGUUGUUUAAGCAUGUUUUAGCCCUUCAUUGCGAGCAACUCUGUAGCAGAGUGAACUUUGCUGAAGGUGCCAUUGUAGGUUGCUUGCUUUGGAGCUGUAACUACAGACAAGAAGAUGACUCUGAGGGUAUUACUAAAAUUUUCCUUGAAACACACUCUGGUCUUUUCAUGCAAAGUUUCAUCCAUUAGCUCAGCUUGUAAACUGUUAAGCUCUACGGUUUGCUAAUCUUUUCCCUUCCUUAGCUUUUUGUUUCUUCAAAGUAGUGGUUACAGACUGGAACCUGCAAAGUGCUGAGUGCUGUAUUCCACAUCAAGCAAACCUCUCAAUGUUAAUCAUGCUCCGAAAAAUGCUGCGAGAUUAGAGCUAAAUCUCUGCACAACCCCUGCAUUUCUCCAGCUGGGCGCCUUUUUCAUUCCUGUGAAAGCAAGGCUAUGCAGUUAAGACACUGAGCUUGGGCUGGGGGGAUGUUAAGUCCAGUUUAAUCUGCUACAGACUUCUUUAUUGGUGUCUUAUUUUACAGAAUAGAGAUGAUAAAUAUUUUGUCCUUUUGAUUCUAAACUCUUGGUACGGUAUGUAUUUCUUAGCCUUAUGAGAACAUUAAGACCUUAUUCGCAGAUUUUAUACAGUGCUGUAAAUGACUGCUAUCACCUAUGGGGCAGACAUUUAAGCCCUGGACUGGCUCUGGUGAGGAUUCCUGUUACCCAGCUUUGUAGCAGGAAUGUCUUGGGAGGGCUUCUCUUCCCUGGCUCUGUGCAGCACUGUGCACUUCAAAGCCUUCUACUUUCAGAUAUGUAAAAGAAGAGUAAAUUUCAGAUUGUCUUUACAUUUUCGGAAAGGCAAUGUUUUAGACCUUUUCAAAGAUGAAUUCAAAUAAUGAGUGUUCAUUAUGUCUACAUUUUAAAGUGCCGGUUUCCAGCAUCUGCAUGAGUGAAAGUAUAUCUCACUUUCUGUCUCCACCUUUGUUAGUAAUUGUUGUAAUUGUAGGGUAAUGUCUCAUUUUUUGUAAUUUUGUAUAUUAUCUCUGUACAAUUCUCCCAGUUGAGCUCCAAACUGCCCCUGUGUCAUUCGUUUCAUUAAACAUUAAAUCAAUGUACUUUAAGAAUGCCAAGGUUAGUAAUGUGGCAAAAUAGUAAUCCAUUAAACAUCUGGACAGUAAAUCUACUACCUAUCUCUUUUGAAGAGGUUAUAAUAUGCCAUACAAUUAAUUAUUUGGAGCUUGAAUACACUUAAUUUCUGCAAAGUGCAAAAUAGAACUAUUACAUCUCCAUUAUGAGAAGAAAAGCAACAGCUUUUUAAAGCUUCAAAAUCCUUUUAGCAAUAUCUGAUGUACCUUGUCUACAUGGCACCUUUUAUGAAACAUUUCUGCUUGUAAAGGCAAGCUAUUACCAACUGUCCUGGUAGCAAUGAUUUACCACGUUACCUAUCUGUCUAUCAGCGUAUCUACCUAUGAGUUAGCCUCAAAGCUCUUCACAAACUCUACUUCCUUUUUCAAGCCAAGAGGCAAAAGCCUGAUAAACAUCACAUGAAGCAGCACACUGCUAAACUGAUGAUAGAUGGGUGAAUGCUGCAGGGUGGAAUUGAAUUAACUCUCUGCUGGCUGAUGUUUCUGCAGGCGCUUCCUCACCACCAGCAGAAGUCAGUGGUAAGAGCUCCAAAGACAUCAUUUUGCAAUUGCUUGUGGUACUGCUGGCUGUGCUUACCCUUGUCCCUUUCAUGUUACAUGAGUCUGUGGUUGUUCGAUUCCAUGGUCAUCAGACGAGUAACUAAAUAAAAAUAAUUAAAAAAAAAAAAGAAAAAGCUGA
RNAcentral lists this long non-coding RNA (2578 nucleotides) under Anas platyrhynchos platyrhynchos (common mallard). Its description in RNAcentral is "lncRNA (ENSAPLG00000027528.1)". The record is from RNAcentral. Lineage: Eukaryota; Metazoa; Chordata; Aves; Anseriformes; Anatidae.